AGAAAUUUAGGUUAAAAAAACCAAGAACCUUCAAAGUUCUAGAUAAAGUAAAAUAUUUUAAUUUCUG
RNAcentral lists this transfer RNA (67 nucleotides) under Pseudococculinidae sp. MNHN-IM-2013-40847. RNAcentral describes it as "tRNA-Trp". Lineage: Eukaryota; Metazoa; Mollusca; Gastropoda; Lepetellida; Pseudococculinidae. The record is from RNAcentral.